RNAcentral lists this long non-coding RNA (588 nucleotides) under Dasypus novemcinctus (nine-banded armadillo). RNAcentral describes it as "lncRNA (ENSDNOG00000051600.1)". The record is from RNAcentral. Lineage: Eukaryota; Metazoa; Chordata; Mammalia; Cingulata; Dasypodidae.
GCCUUAUGCCUGCUGGAGAAGUUUAGAGGAAUAACGCCUUUUUAAAAAUCAAAGAAAAUAUUCUUUACAAAUGGUCGAGAACUGCUACAGUCCUGCCGGGAGUGACGUGUCUAGCACGGAUACCUGGGCUUUUUCUAUGCUGGGUGAGACUGCCCCCGAAGAGGCCACACCAACCUGUUCAUUUCCAAAAGCCAGAAGCCGGAGAGAGAGAGAAGAGACACACUCCCACAAUAGGAUCUAAAUAAGUUGCCAGCGUUUCAGGACUCCUGAAAAGUAUGGAUUAACUGAAUAUUGACUAAAGCUGGGAUUCCUCCAGAGGGAAAGCAGUGGUAUAUUUUUCCAUAAGCCUAGAGACUAUACUUCUUGCACUUUUUUUCUCACUGUGGGAGGAAAACAAAGAGAUAAUUGGCUCUAAAUAAACCUCUAUCAGUAGCUCUGUAUCAUGGAAUUUGCUAAGCCUGUUGUUUGGUGUAAACAGACCCUACUUUGAGGAGCGUAUCUGAGGGGGGGAUUUAGAAUCUGACCUAUUACUUUCCGUGGUUCCAAUGGGUGCUGAACAGAAAACAGCACGCAUUCUGCACCCUGAGG